Molecule: non-coding RNA, 386 nt
Filed under: Pan troglodytes (chimpanzee)
Lineage: Eukaryota; Metazoa; Chordata; Mammalia; Primates; Hominidae
Source: RNAcentral
UUUUGUGGGGAAGGUCCAUUAAAACCUUUCUAGCUCCUGCACAAAGACAAAACCAUAGAGGAAAGCACUCAGAAAGGAGCAGGAUGAGGGAAUGCAAAGAAAAGGCAAAUGAGGGAAGCGUUGAAAGAACCUCUUCCAGUGGCAGCAGGGAGGGAGGGGAGACAGUUGAAGUUAGAAGAUGCUUUGCUGUAUUCACCAAGUCUUCAAAACAAGAGCACUGAAGUACUGGGGACUGUUUCUCCUUGACUUUUUAGCCUUGAUACAAUGGCCACAAAGAAGAGCUCUUCACAAUCGAAGCUUGUUAUGUUUGCUUUGCCAUCAUCCACCAUAAAGUCUGGAAUACAACCUUCUUCCCUUUUCAGUAAACAUCUACUGAGUAAAUCACA